GCCAGUGUGGUCUAGUGGUUUGAGUGUUGGACUAUGACUCUGGAGAUCAGGGUUCAAUUCCCUGUUCAGUCA
Non-coding RNA from Phrynosoma platyrhinos (Desert horned lizard), 72 nucleotides. Lineage: Eukaryota; Metazoa; Chordata; Lepidosauria; Squamata; Phrynosomatidae. The record is from the annotation of a GenBank genome assembly.